UGCCCNCUGAUAUAUUAUUAAAGGGCUGCAGUAAUUUGACUGUACAAAGGUAGCAUAAUCAUUAGUCAUUUAAUUGAUGACUGGUAUGAAAGAUUGGAUGAAAUAUAAACUGUCUUUAUUAUAUUUUUAGAAAUUAAUUUUUUAAUUAAAAAGUUAAAAUACAUAAAAAAGACGAGAAGACCCUAUAGAGUUUAAUUAUUUUUUAAAUAAGUUUUAUUUAUAAAUUUAUAUUAAUUGUAUUAGGAAAAUAAUUUUGUUGGGGUGAUGAAAAAAUUUAAUUAACUUUUUUUUUUUUUUUACAUAAAUAAAUGAAUUUUUGAUCCAAUAUUAUUGAUUAAAAGAAAAAAUUACCUUAGGGAUAACAGNGUAAUUUUUUUUUUUAGUUCAUAUAAAAAAAAAAGUUUGCGACCUCGAUGUUGGAUUAAGAUAAAAUUUAAAUGUAGAAGUUUAA
Molecule: ribosomal RNA, 451 nt
Filed under: Griveaudyria cf. cangia M4
Lineage: Eukaryota; Metazoa; Arthropoda; Insecta; Lepidoptera; Erebidae
Description: partial large subunit ribosomal RNA
Source: RNAcentral